This 481-nucleotide ribosomal RNA is filed under the name uncultured bacterium. RNAcentral's name for it is "partial 16S ribosomal RNA". It matches the Rfam family "Bacterial small subunit ribosomal RNA", at positions 28 to 523 of the family's 1533-position model. The record is from RNAcentral.
AAUGAACGUUGGCGGCGUGGAUUAGGCAUGCAAGUCGAGCGAGAACCGUAGCAAUACGGGGACAGCGGCGCAAGGGAGAGUAAUACGUGGAUACCUACCCUCGGGUCCGGGAUAGCUGCGGGAAACUGCAGGUAAUACCGGAUGACAUCUCCGGAUCAAAGGUGUGAUUCCGCCCGGGGCGGGGUCCGCGUCCUAUUAGCUAGUUGGUGAGGUAACGGCUCACCAAGGCUGUGAUGGGUACGGGGUGUGAGAGCUUGCCCCCGCUCACUGGGACUGAGACACGGCCCAGACACCUACGGGUGGCUGCAGUCGAGAAUCUUCGGCAAUGGGCGCAAGCCUGACCGAGCGACGCCGCGUGCGAGAUGAAGGCCUUCGGGUUGUAAAUCGCUGUCAGAGGGGAGGAAAUGCCGGGGGCUCUCUCAUCGGUUUGACCUAUCCUCAGAGGAAGGACGGGCUAAGUUCGUGCCAGCAGCCGCCGUAA